This 460-nucleotide ribosomal RNA is filed under the name uncultured bacterium. RNAcentral's name for it is "partial 16S ribosomal RNA". It matches the Rfam family "Bacterial small subunit ribosomal RNA", at positions 338 to 795 of the family's 1533-position model. The record is from RNAcentral.
CCUACGGGGGGCAGCAGUGAGGAAUAUUGGUCAAUGGGCGCGAGCCUGAACCAGCCAAGUAGCGUGAAGGAUGACUGCCCUCUGUGUUGUAAACUUCUUUUAUAAAGGAAUAAAACGAGGCACGUGUGCCUUUUUGCAUGUACUUUAUGAAUACGGAUCGGCUCACUCCGUGCCAGCAGCCGCGGUAAUACGGAGGAUCCGAGCGUUAUCCGGAUUUAUUGGGUUUAAAGGGAGCGUAGAUGGGUUGUUAAGUCAGUUGUGAAAGUGUGCGGCUCAACCGUAAAAUUGCAAUUGAUACUGGCAGGCUUGAGUACAGUUGAGGUAGGUGGAAUUCGGGGUGUAGCGGUGAAAUGCUUAGAGAUAACGAAGAACCCCGAUUGCGAAGGCAGCUUACUAAACUGUGACUGACAUUGAUGCUCGAAAGUGUGGGGAGCAAACAGGAUUAGAUACCCGUGUAGUC